GACGAACGCUGGCGGCGUGCUUAACACAUGCAAGUCGAACGGAAAGGCCCUGCUUUUGUGGGGUGCUCGAGUGGCGAACGGGUGAGUAACACGUGAGUAACCUGCCCUUGACUUUGGGAUAACUUCAGGAAACUGGGGCUAAUACCGGAUAGGAGCUCCUGCUGCACGGUGGGGGUUGGAAAGUUUCGGCGGUUGGGGAUGGACUCGCGGCUUAUCAGCUUGUUGGUGGGGUAGUGGCUUACCAAGGCUUUGACGGGUAGCCGGCCUGAGGGGGUGACCGGCCACAUUGGGACUGAGAUACGGCCCAGACUCCUACGGGAGGCAGCAGUGGGGAAUAUUGCACAAUGGGCGGAAGCCUGAUGCAGCAACGCCGCGUGCGGGAUGACGGCCUUCGGGUUGUAAACCGCUUUCGCCUGUGACGAAGCGGGAGUGACGGUAAUGGGUAAAGAAGCACCGGCUAACUACGUG
RNAcentral lists this ribosomal RNA (468 nucleotides) under uncultured bacterium. RNAcentral's name for it is "partial 16S ribosomal RNA". It matches the Rfam family "Bacterial small subunit ribosomal RNA", at positions 28 to 507 of the family's 1533-position model. The record is from RNAcentral.